RNAcentral lists this ribosomal RNA (253 nucleotides) under uncultured bacterium. RNAcentral describes it as "partial 16S ribosomal RNA". It matches the Rfam family "Bacterial small subunit ribosomal RNA", at positions 524 to 776 of the family's 1533-position model. The record is from RNAcentral.
UACGUAGGUGGCGAGCGUUGUCCGGAUUUACUGGGCGUAAAGAGCGCGCAGGCGGUCGUACAAGUCGCGUGUGAAAGCCCCCGGCUCAACUGGGGAGGGUCACGCGAUACUGUUCGACUCGAAGGCAGGAGAGGGAAGCGGAAUUCCCGGUGUAGUGGUGGAAUGCGUAGAGAUCCGGAAGAACACCGGUGGCGAAGGCGGUCUGCUGGGGUAAUGCUGACACUGAUGCGCGACAGCGUGGGGAGCAAACAGG